Equus caballus (horse) is the source of this 1037-nucleotide long non-coding RNA. NCBI's taxonomy places the organism in Eukaryota, Metazoa, Chordata, Mammalia, Perissodactyla, Equidae. The record is from Ensembl.
AGAGAUUCCGUUUGCCCCGCCCCCUCAUUAGCUGUGUGAACUCAGGCAAUUUGCUUAAUUCUCUGAACUUUGGAGUCAUCUGUUGCAAAAUAGGGAUACUUAUAACCAACUUCUAAAAUUGCUAAUAUAUAUGAAGCACUGGACAUUCUGUCUUCACAUAGUAGGUACUCAACUAAUGGCAGCUUUUGUAAAGCCUAGAGCAGCUCUCAGCACACAAAUAACAACUAAACUGCUGACGCAUUGAUAAAUGGCUAUCUCUUGGGCAUGUCUACUCAAAAUGCUUUCCUGUUUGCUGAAAAAGUUAGAGGGAUCUUGGAGAAGGACUGUAACAACCUUAAGCAGAUAAUACAACAAUUGUCUCUGCUGUUCUGCACACGAUAUCUUCACUGGAGCAAAUGAAUAGAUUCCCAGAACCGUGGCAGCCAAGCAUAAUCCUCAAUGCCAUAACUCUUCGCUUUGAUAACUCCUUCUCCCACUUGUCUGCAAAGUGCUGCUUUACUGGCCUCAUCCCAGCAUCCACUGUAUCCCGCGGACGUGUCUCCUUCCUCUGAAUGUCAACGGAUUCAGUGCCUUCACCACUCACUUUGGGCUGAGAAUAUCUAAAGCUCACAGUACUAAUUAUGUCACUAUCAAGAGAAGCCUUAACCAAUCAGCCAAGUUUCCAGCAAGCAAUUUCUAGGAACUGCACGGUUCAAUUUGCAUAGAGACAAAAAGAAUGAAGAAAGACAAUUUGGAGAAGAACUGUUUUCAGCAAUAAUCCUACAUAUGAGAGUUUGGUGGACAAUGUACCUGCUCAAUUUGCUUCUUAAAAAUUCUCUCUGCUGAUUCAGCUGCAUCAGAGUGGAAGUUAGUAAACAACAGCAUGACGGUCCUCCUUGGAGACUCUUCCUGCUUGCAAAAGUUACACAAAAUAUUUUUCAAUACUUUGUAAUAAAGUGGGAUACAGGCAGAGCAAAUUCCCACAAUUCGUCAAAUAUAGUCAUUAAAAUUGUAAUAAGAUCUUGAGAUUUCCCAAUUCUUGGAAUGCAAAAAGCUAC